Molecule: ribosomal RNA, 253 nt
Filed under: uncultured bacterium
Lineage: Bacteria
Description: partial 16S ribosomal RNA
Rfam family: Bacterial small subunit ribosomal RNA
Source: RNAcentral
UACAUGGGGUGCAAACGUUGCUCGGAAUUAUUGGGCGUAAGGCGCACGUAGGCGGUUUGUUAAGUCGGAUGUGAAAUCCCUCGGCUCAACUGAGGAAGUGCAUCCGAAACUGGCAAGCUUGAGUACGAAAGAGGAUCGCGGAAUUCCCGGUGUAGAGGUGAAAUUCGUAGAUAUCGGGAGGAACACCGGUGGCGAAGGCGGCCUGCUGGGCAGUUGCUGACACUGAGGCGCGACAGCGUGGGGAGCAAACAGG